UACUUUCGCACGACGGCGACGUGGUGGCACAACUCAAGUGAUCAAUAAAAGGGCCAUCCCGUCCCGUCCAUCGUCUGCAAUCCCAUUGCAGACAAAUGAACGUCUGCCAUUCAGGGAAAAUUUUCUCGUCGGCCAUUAAAUUAUCGACAGCUUGCUCAACGAUUGACAUUGUUUUUUUGGCACUGACGAGUUUUUUGACGCGUAAAAAAUGCAGAUUUUUCGAAGCAGCGAAAAAUUCACACCACCGCUGGGGACCGGCAAAAGUUCACCCAUAUGCUGGACGUAAACAAAUCGCUGUCAGAUUCGGCUCCGAUACCCAUUCAAGUGACUGCGGCGAAUUGGAUGAACCCAGUUCAGUGGCGGAUAUGCAGUGGAAAAUUGAAUGCGUGACGUUGAUUUAGAGGAAGUUUAAGUGGCGCGAAAAGGUGUUCAGUUUAACGGUCGUGACGGUUACGUUUCGGAAAAAUUGAUUUUGGGGGAACCUCACGGUGAGUUUUUAGCAUCGAAUCGAUUUACCUCGAGAUAAUAAAAUGACGGGAAAACACGAAAACAACACUGAUCAUCGGAAAGUUAAGAUUAUCACUUGGCAGCAGUAUAUGAAAGAUUCUGGAUCCAGCAGUAGAUAAACAGCAAAUAAUAUAAUAAACGAGGGCAGAUCAAAAUCUUAGAAGUUUCAAAACAACAAGGAAGUGUCUGAACGAUUAUCACGAUGCAAGGUCGAAACUUGUGAUAAGUAUGUAGUUCUAUGGAUUAUUCGGCUGAGUUCUGGUUCCCUACGAUGUC
Hermetia illucens (black soldier fly) is the source of this 783-nucleotide long non-coding RNA. RefSeq lists it as uncharacterized. NCBI's taxonomy places the organism in Eukaryota, Metazoa, Arthropoda, Insecta, Diptera, Stratiomyidae. The record is from RefSeq and is a predicted model, not a curated record. The transcript has 3 exons.